This 2118-nucleotide long non-coding RNA is filed under the name Homo sapiens (human). RNAcentral's name for it is "non-protein coding lnc-NXNL1-5:1". Lineage: Eukaryota; Metazoa; Chordata; Mammalia; Primates; Hominidae. The record is from RNAcentral.
AUUUCGAACCAUGACAUGGCUGAGGGUAGGGGUCGGGUGGAUGGAUGAUUCAGGGUUGUAACCCAUAGAGCCCAAAGGGGAAGUGAUCUGUGACCUGGGGUGAGGGUGAUCUGGAAGAUUUUUGGAUGGCUGGAAAGAAAUGGGGAAGUCGAGCUGCCUGAGAGAGCCAAGUUAUUUCCCAAAAGAUUCCUUAGGAGUCUUUCUGUUCAAGACCUCCGUGUGUGUGUGUGUGUGUUUAGGGUUCCCCAGCAAUGGCCCAGGCAUGUGAAGGAAACAAGCUUCUUCAGGGAAUAUUUGUUGAAUGAGUUUUCCUGACUCCCAGGCUAGAACUGUUUUUGCAAUUUCCACCCUCUUUUCUUUCCCCCAGAGAACUCCUAUUCGUCCUUCAAAACCCAUCACGGAAACCCCUCUUGGAGAAAACCCUCCUUCCUUCCCCUCAGGACUUUCCCAGCCACCGUCUCUCCUCCAGUCCAGCCUGAUGCCAUGGGACUGGGGGUUUCUCUGUCCAGCUCUGUUUCUCCCAGACUGGGGUCUGAGGACUCUCAGGACCCCCAACUUUACCUAGCACAGGCUGGGCACAAGUGGGUGACAGGGAGUCUACGCCUAGUGGAAUUAUGUAUUGGGGCAGGGUCAGUGUGAGAAUACACAUCCGCAUGCAUGUCUGUCCAUGUCUGUCCGUACCAACCUUCCCCUUCCACACGGACCUGGGCACAUAGGAGGUGUCUGAGCCUGACACAUGGGACAGAGAGUGGACAUGGCUGAGACACGGACAGAGAAAAGACAAGGAGUCCAGGGGGCUGAAAGCCUUUUGAAAUCAGGAAGUUCCUGUAUUGGCAGAACAAAGCCCAGAGAGGAGCAGGGCUUUCCUCAACGCCACCCAGCAAGUGGACACAGAGCCCGGCCUUGGAUGACACCUCCAGGGUUCUGAACCCUGGACCUCGCUUUAUGCAAGGAGCUGGCCCCACAUUUCCAUGAAUCGGGGAAACAGCACAAGAAGGUUGGCCUGUGGCAGGGCAAGGGUUAAAGGGGUGACAUUGAGGGAUGCCUCAGAGUCAAAGUCCCCUGACCAAGAGGAAUAGAGUAGAAAACACAGAGACAGAGGGUGAGAUCACGCCCCGAUGAGGACGGAGAGAGACAGAGAUGGAGAGAGACAUAGAGGUGGAAAUAUACAGAGAAAGAUAAAUGCAGAGACCAAGGCAGGGAGUGUCGGGGGAAGUAAAGAGGGUGUCCUGAAGAAAGAAGGAUCUGUUCACUCUUACCAGUCUGUCCUCGAAUGAUUUGCAUAAAAUGAGGAGGUGCCUGUCCACACCCCCAAUUCCUCUCUCAGGCCCCAGAGCCUGAGACCUCACCAUGCCCCCAUCAGAGAUGCAAAAAACUAAACACCCAACUAGAAAUCCUUGGGACCUCUCUCGGCUGGGAUCUCAGAGCCUUUCUGUCCCCUACCCCUACCCCAUGUGCUGUCGAUUUUGCAGAUGGGGACAACCUGGGGCCUCCCGGAACUCUGCCACCCUGGGGAAGUUGGGGGAGGGCCUUAGUCCCGGAUCACAACCCCGUCUGCUCCCCAGAAUCCUUUCCUAAGAAUCGUUGAGGACCAAAGUUGUCUUUGCUGACACGUGUUGCUUUUCUCUUUGCCUUUUAUUGUUUCAGAGAAAAAUCAAGUUGACUGUGUCAAGUAACACCCCACCCCUUACCCCCGUCCAGCCAUAGUGGCUCUCUGGAGACACAGGUCACAGGCGGAGGGUCCCCUGAUCAUCCCCAACCACACAGCCAGGGGGACUUGACCCCUGUCCACCCCUGUCUCGUGCUCCCUCAGACCCCCACAAACCGGCCAAGCAGUCCGGGGAGGCUUCCCCUCCACACAACUCUUAGCAUGUGAUUGCAGAUGUGAAAUCAAAACGUUGUUUGUUUUUUGUUUUGUUUUGAUUCUACCCCGUCGGUCCAGUGUCUGCACAGACGCCUUCAUUUCUCUGUAAAUAUGUGACUUGGAACAAAUGUUUAACACAAACGAGAAGUGGUCAUGAAUGCAUGGUGUUGAGAUGUUUUGCACUAUUCUGACUUUUUGGUCUCUGUAAAAAUAUUUUAUUAACAGCAGACAUUAAAAAAAGAAAAACCACACAC